Long non-coding RNA from Cyprinus carpio (common carp), 440 nucleotides. Lineage: Eukaryota; Metazoa; Chordata; Actinopteri; Cypriniformes; Cyprinidae. The record is from Ensembl.
AGAGAAAGGGAAAAAUGAAAGUGGAUGGUUCAAGCAGAGAUAAUUGAACUUUGUUUCCUCAUGCAGACAGACCAACAACUGGCCUGCGCUAAAUGGAUUGUAGGAGAUUUGAUACAAACUCUGGGGAGUUAAAACAUUGUUCCCUGACAUCUUUCCCACAGAGGUCUGCUUAAUGGCAACCUCCAUUCACAGAGUUCCGUCUGAGGGUAAAUCAGGGCAGUUUCUCACGCUGAAGCAUCUAUUAUUCUGGAUGUUUGGGUUUACGAAGAUGAGGGCUGCACGUGAAAUCACUUAUUAACUCCCGUUAGACCACAGAGGAGGAUUUGUGAAUAUCAGUGAAGCAAUGCAACUGACACUGGUAGGUCAUGAUCAACCUGGAUUUCAUUUCUACUAUACAGAACAUACUUUUUAAACGUUUGCGAAGUAAAAACUUAUUCAGA